UAUCAAAAGGAGGUCACUGAAGGAAAAGGGUUCAAUUCCUGUGACACCUACGCCAUGGCUGCCGCCAUCGAUGAUUCAUUCAUAAAAGAGUCUGAAGAGCUGCCGUGCCAGUGGAGGUGGAGGGGACCUACACCCGAGGCAUGAUGGUACUGGACUACAUGCAUCUGCUGAAGAAGAAAAACAAGGCCUUCAUCAUAAAGAAAGUGGACUUGGAGAAGUUCAAGCAAAUGUUAAUGAAUUCAUUGAAGUAGAGUGAUACUGUAACAAGCUGAAUGCAUGGAUUUGGUCCCCAAAAAUAAAUAAAAAUGGUGUGUGAAAACACAAUAUUACACAAUAUUACAAUACA
Molecule: long non-coding RNA, 346 nt
Organism: Morone saxatilis (striped sea-bass)
Lineage: Eukaryota; Metazoa; Chordata; Actinopteri; Moronidae
Exons: 2
Source: RefSeq, a predicted model, not a curated record